ACAAAUGUAACAAAAAAUAAAUAAAAAUGAAAACAAUUGUAGAUGUGCAGUAUAACUGUAUUACAGAACAAAUAUAUGAUUAUAAUAAUAUAUAUGUAUAUGUUUGUGUUCGUGUACAUAGCUCUGUAAUAAAACAAAAAAAUGUAUUUUAAAGUAAGAUACAAAUAAGAAAUCCAAAAUAUUUAAAAAAAACAUGAAAACAUAUUUAUUUAAUUAUUUAAAAUAUCUGAAAAAAUAAAGAAAAAAACAUAAUAGUAAAAAAAAAAAUUAUAAAAUUAUAUACAUUAACUAUCAGAACGUUGUAUAAUAAGAAAACAUUUAAAAGCCAAUUAGACAGCAAUAUAAAAGAUUUAUUCAUAAUUAUUGUAAUAAUGUAUAAAAAUUAAAUAUAUAGUUACAUAUGAAAACAUACAUGUUAAUUUUUUUUUUUAUUUUUAAGGAUUAUGAAGAAGAAAUUUUUAGAUUACAAAAAAUAAUCAAGGAUAGGGAAAAUGAAAACGUGGAAUUAAGAGUUAAUUUUCGAGAAUUACUGCAAGAAAAAAUUAAAUUAGAAGAAGAUAUUGAAAAUUAUGAGAAGGCUAUUUACGAAAUUAACGAAAAUACAACUGCGUUGAAAGAAGCACAUAAGGCAGAAAUAAAAGAAAUUCAAGAAGAAAACUGGAAUCUUUAUUUACAGAUAGAUUUGCUUAAGGAAAACUUAAAUAUUUUGGAAGAAAAAUGUAAUCAGUUACAGAAUUUUAAUGAAGAUAAAACUAAAAACAUUGAUAUUUUAAAUAAAGAAGUACAGGACUUGAUGAUAAUAUAAUAUUGUGUUUAUUUUUUACCGUUUUCGAUACGAUAAUUGAUUUUUUACUACACACAUUAAUUAGGAUAAGAAAACGACAUAUGCAAUAGAAAUUGACAAAAUUUUAAUAGAAAAAAAUAAUAUUAGAAUUGAAAGGGAAGAAUUUGAUAAAUCUAAAACAGAAUUUAAAAUAAUAGAAGAAAAGUUAUACGAAGAAAAAAAAGAAUUUGAAAAGAACAAAGAUGAGUUUUUAAAAGAAGUAAAACAACUACAAAAAUGUAUAGAUAUAUUGGAAAAAGAAAAAAAAGAAAUAUUGGAAAAUAAAAAAAAGUUAGAAACAGACA
RNAcentral lists this long non-coding RNA (1128 nucleotides) under Piliocolobus tephrosceles (Ugandan red Colobus). Its description in RNAcentral is "lncRNA (ENSPTEG00000002086.1)". The record is from RNAcentral. Lineage: Eukaryota; Metazoa; Chordata; Mammalia; Primates; Cercopithecidae.